Bombus pyrosoma is the source of this 4888-nucleotide RNA transcript. RefSeq lists it as uncharacterized. The transcript is spliced from 3 exons. Lineage: Eukaryota; Metazoa; Arthropoda; Insecta; Hymenoptera; Apidae. The record is from RefSeq and is a predicted model, not a curated record.
GCUGCUGCGCUCAACCUUUCUAUCUUCCUCGUUUCCCCUUCUCGAUCUACCCAUCUAUUCGUGUAUCUAUCCCGUUCUCUCUUCCCGGGUGUCUUAAAUUAGAAUUUCAGGUGAGUCGUUCUGAAAUCCGAUUCGACGACUCUACAUGCGACAGCGCGGAGCGGGGAUUCGUAAUCGAUCGCAGCUCGAGCUGCGUCGAAAGUGAGAGAAACGCAGAAAGUUGCUGAAAGUGGCCGGAUAAAAAGGGCGACAGAGACGGCGAAAGGGGCAGAAAGUUAGAGAAACGGAGUACGGAAGGAUUUGUAGAUGGCAAAAGAAAGAGCGAGAUAGAGAAGAUAACGAGUAGGUUUUUAAACCCCGGGUUGAAAAAACGAGAGUUGGAAAAAUGGACGUUACGUAUUGCAUGUGAACAAUCACACGAGGUACGGCCGUCAAAUUCGAUGUCCAUGCUACGUCGACGAGGGAUGACAAACGCUAGAACGCCCGUUGAACUUUCGAUACGCAUGUUGUAUUCCAUGUAUGAAAGCGAAUCACAGUCGGAGUUUGAGUUUCCUCGGAAUUGCACCGUUUUUUAAUUCCCUCGUGCUCGUGCUUCAUCGUCGUAGGAACAACCUAAAGGCCACAUGGCGGGAUCAACCGAUCGGUUUACUUAAUUUCCGAGCGUAACUUUAGAACGAAAUUGAAGUCGCCGCGUCACGUGGUCGAGCUGGAAUUUAAAAUAUGCUUGGGUCGUCUUGCUUGAGAGCCUUUGAGAUUUUCGGUGAUUGAAACUGACGAGCGUUGCUCGGACACGGCGUAUCGUAUGAUCGAAUAACGUGGUAGAUCGAGUGUGUGUCAAUCGACACGUUGCUGCACAUUGUGUCGAUAUUUGCUCUUCUUUCGACGUGACCGUUUGUGUAUGAUGUUACAUUCAUUGAUUGCAUUUUAAACGUGUUUCCACGAAAAGCACACUGAAAAAGUGAAUAAGAGGGCUGUUUGUUUUGUAAUCAAUCUCUCUGUAUUUAUAUCUUUUUUGUGGCUGCUCGAUUUCCUUUGUAGAAAAAAUUCAGCGAAUAUAUGUUUGAAAAUUUCAGAUUUAUUUGAUAAUUUAAUCGUCUCUGUAAAAAUAUAAACGUAGAACGAGUAGAGCAAUAUUAAUCAGGAUUGGAAUUCAAUCGGAAAUUAUUGAUCUACUUUUCAAAUUACACAAUUAAUUUCGCAGCCAAAUAUCGUUUAUUCAAUUUUCCGAACACACGACUGCAUUCUCAUAUUAUUAGACUUGUACGCGAAUGAUUCGAAUUUGCGAAUUGUUCAACCAGUUCGACGCGUUACGAAAAAUUAAAACACUUUAACACUGUAUAUCUUGCGCUCUUGAACUUUGAACAUUGAAUUUCAAACUUUAUUUUCAACCUUGAUCUUAUUAGCUUGCAGUAAACCAAUUUUUAUUGCGGCAUAAACGGCUCUAUGAGCCAUGAGCGUUUGAAGCUAACGGGAGAAUAACGUGUAAACAGUCCACAUAUUCUGUAAACGAGCAGACAUCUUUUUCUUUAAAUCGAUACUUAUAUACAUCUCAUAGGCGGCUGUAUACGACAUUUCAAUUUUUGUUCAAUUUUUAUUCCCCUUGUACUUUCCUCCUGCUUUGUCGUUUCAACAUAAGAUGCGUACCUUUUUACGUACUCGUCGGCAUCAAACCUGUCGGAAACGUUUGCGUUCACCUGAAGCAUUGCGUCUCGUAUAUCUCGUAGAAUGCUUUUUUCGAGUCUCGCAAUUCUCCUAGCGACUUCCUUGCACACGCAUGAAGUAUAACAAUUCUACAAGAAUUUGCUGAAAGACGUUGAAAUCGUUCGACCAAAAUGGCACAUUUUCAAGGAACACAUUUUCGAGGUUUCAAUAAAAGCUUCGAGUGUGUCAACGUUCACAUUUCUUUCGGCGUAAUGUAUUUGAUAUAGAAAUGAAAUUCUAUUAAGUCAGGCUAUAGCUUGGUAUGUGGACUAUUUGAAACUACCUGUGGUUAAAAAUAGAAUUAAAAAGUUUAUUGGAACUUCUUUCUGUGACGAGGAAAGUAAAUCAAUACGUAUGUAGGUGUAUGGACCGGGAAGGAAUCAAAGAAAUUGUGGAUUUGUUAAGUUAAUGUUAACGCAUUUUCUAAUGUCGUUACAUCGAUCGAUAAAUAGAUAUUUCGCCUGAUAAGCGUAAUGGUCGUCUUUGAUCAGAAAUCAAAUAAGCUCCGAGAUAUUACACUUUUCGAUAGGUAUUAGUUAACUGAAGUAAUCUACUUUCUUACUGCUAGCGCACUAAACUGAUGAUUCUGCACAAUCGAUAAUAUAAAUUUAUGGAAAUUUGCACGCUUUUGAGAUAGCAUAAGUUAAAUUAGAAAUUCCGUUUAGAGCGUGGAUAUCAAAAGUUGAGUGCCUUUAUAAAACCGAUAUCAAAUUCUGCUAAAUGGUGCACUAAAAAAGACAUUUUACAAACCGCUUGAAUCGACGUCAAAGCGUCAAUUUAAAAUUUAAGUGUUUUUAUGACAAAUUUAUAGAAAUCGAAUGAUUGAUCUAUAAGUUAAAAUUGUCGAAAGUAAGUUAAACCAAAUUUUAUCAUUUAUUUCGAAAUGUUUAGAAGUUGUGUCAAGAAAAAAAAAAUUAAAAUUUGUUAUCGCGUAUACCAUAUUGCUGCGAUGUUGUUUUUCGCUUUAAUUGUUUGCUUGAAUUCAGGCGAAAAAUAUUUGACGGUAAAACAUGGUACACUCAUCGAUGGUCAUUAGUAAUACUUAUUUUGCUAGAUGAUUAAUAGGAAUCAUAAUGAUUCUUUAAUAUAUACCUUCGAUAUUUUGCGCCUUUGUGUAGUCGAAUCUACUUUUUCUAAGCAAUAUUUAUUCCUCAAACAGAAGUAGAUUGAACGAAACGUUAUCUAUGAAAUUCUUAUCACUUUUCCAUUAACUCGAGCAAAUAUUCAUCUUCUUCGCUGCGCAUCCAAUCAAACUGCAAACAGUUCAAGCUUUGUUAAUUCGUGUUUUUAGAGAACACGAUAUUUUCUAAUUGUCCUCUAUUAAUGGUAAUUUGAGCGCCUUGUAUCGGCAAAGCAGUAGCGACGUUAAAAACGUGUUGAAGUGAACACAAGUAUAGAUUUAUUGAUUAGAAACAGUACUUAACGUGUAUCGACGUAUACGGAAACAUACUAUAAGUAUCGCGUGCUUUAUGAACUCAUUAUACUAACAAAUUUUUUUUACUUCACACAGCAUUAGUAAUGAGCUACGAGCUCAUGUACUGUUAUCAUGUCAUGUACAGUCGAUCUAAAUUUUUAUUAUUUUUAUAGCAACCUGGUUCAGUACCUCGAUCAAAGAAUAUUUCUGUAUCGAUAACGCAAAUCAUAUCGUUUCCACGAAGUUUAACGUCAGUAACGUUACUAUUUACUUUGUUUUAAUAAUAUUUCAUACGUGUCCCGUUUACUUAAAUACAAAUUAUAAUAGACAUCCGUUUCCUUCGUAUACUUUAAAAUUAGUUUGUAAUUAAUACGUAUUGUAUUAUUACUAAUUAUAGAAUUUAAAAACAAACGUAACGUUAAUUAUAUUAUAUAAUUGUAUAACGUGAACUAACACGAUUGUAUAAUAUCUAAUUUUGUUCGUAACGCGUGCAGCUUUUAUUUCAAAAGAAAUAUUACAGCUGAUGCGAACUUUCAAGUUUCGGAAACUUAUCAAAAUUAGUUUGUUAUAUCAUUUCCUGUACUGAUUACAAGUAUAUAUUCACUUAAUACCCGUUUUACUAUUUCUUUUCUUCCUGAGCUCUAGUUAGAUUGUAAACCCUAUUUACGAUGAUGUAUCGAGACGUUGACUUAUGUGAUAUAAAUCACAUAAAUCUGGUUAAAAGUAGAUGUGUGUAAUUAAUACUCGUCAUAAUACAGAAACAACAGUUAUAAUUUUCGAACUUAAUAGACGCGUAUCAUUAUUCGUUAUGUAGAUGCGAGUUUUUAUCGAAUUCUGUCCAUUGUAUUUAUUGCAUUGGUUUUAUUACUAACAUCAAUGACGUUGUUAUAUUCGAUCUCGAUACAAAGUGCACCAGAAAACAAUUUAUUCAACUGCAGUAACUAAUGUCGACGCUUGGGUUCGAACAAUAAACAUUUAAAUGUCGAGUAAAGUAAAUUUUUUGUUUAAAAAUUAUAUUUCUAUCGGUAAAUUGCUAUUUAUUAAAUAAUACCUACUACUGCUAUUUAUAAAAUAUGCACGCUCUCUGUGAGAAUCUUGACACGGGGAUUGCACGGAAAAUUGAACAUUUUUUAGACCAACCACGGUUUGCUAAACGCUAAAUACGUUUGGAGCGCAGCAUUGAAAUUUCGCACGGACAAAUAUGAAAUUAAUUUCAUAAGAUGUAUAUUGGAGGAAUAUUCGUUUAAUUAAUUCUUAGUAAUACUAAGGGAGCAAAGGGUAGACAUAUUUUUCUCUGAAUUACUUAAAUUAAUUAAAUUAAUAUAUAAAAAUACGGGAAUGCAAAUCUUUGUUUUCGAAGACAAUAAUGCACGUGAUACGAGACAAAUAAAUACAAAUAAAAUGGUCAAAGCGAGUUUAAUUUAAUUGUUAUUUCAGUAUGCCACGGUUCAUAAGUCGCUAGCUGUAUUAAUCGAUAAUUUUAAUACAGUUAUGCAUAAUUUAGUUCCAUAAAGUCAGAAACAGGCAUCCUUUGUACCUGUAUUGACGCUUUGAACGGUUCGCGUGCUGUAAGCGGGUAUCGUAUUGGUUCCUAUACCAGGUGUUUCAGGAUAAAUGUGAUCUAAGAUAAUUCCUAAAUUAAUUAAUGAUUCUAUGGUAUAGUAAGGAACAUUUUGUUUGUCCUAAGAAUCUAUAAUAGGAUAAAAAUUAUGUUUCUUAAAAUAUUUGAAAUUUUCUUGUACGGAACUACAGAAAAUGUCUAUUCAGCGAUAC